CGGGGUGCAGCAGGCGCGAAAACUUUACAAUGCGGGAAACCGUGAUAAGGGGACACCGAGUGCCAGCAUCAUAUGCUGGCUGUCCAGGUGUGUAAAAUACACCUGUUAGCAAGGGCCGGGCAAGACCGGUGCCAGCCGCCGCGGUAACACCGGCGGCCCGAGUGGUGAUCGUGAUUAUUGGGUCUAAAGGGUCCGUAGCCGGUUUGGUCAGUCCUCCGGGAAAUCUGAUAGCUCAACUAUUAGGCUUUCGGGGGAUACUGCCAGGCUUGGAACCGGGAGAGGUAAGAGGUACUACAGGGGUAGGAGUGAAAUCUUGUAAUCCCUGUGGGACCACCUGUGGCGAAGGCGUCUUACCAGAACGGGUUCGACGGUGAGGGACGAAAGCUGGGGGCACGAACCGGAUUAGAUACCCGGGUAGUCCCAGCCGUAAACGAUGCUCGCUAGGUGUCAGGCAUGGCGCGACCGUGUCUGGUGCCGCAGGGAAGCCGUGAAGCGAGCCACCUGGGAAGUACGGCCGCAAGGCUGAAACUUAAAGGAAUUGGCGGGGGAGCACAAGG
Molecule: ribosomal RNA, 557 nt
Filed under: uncultured archaeon
Lineage: Archaea
Description: bacterial SSU rRNA
Rfam family: Archaeal small subunit ribosomal RNA
Source: RNAcentral